This 520-nucleotide ribosomal RNA is filed under the name uncultured bacterium. RNAcentral describes it as "partial 16S ribosomal RNA". It matches the Rfam family "Bacterial small subunit ribosomal RNA", at positions 28 to 507 of the family's 1533-position model. The record is from RNAcentral.
GACGAACGCUGGCGGCGUGCCUAAUACAUGCAAGUCGAACGCACUCUCGUUUAGAUUGACGGAGUUUGCUCCUGAUUGAUAAACAUUUGAGUGAGUGGCGGACGGGUGAGUAACACGUGGGUAACCUGCCCUAAAGUGGGGGAUAACAUUUGGAAACAGAUGCUAAUACCGCAUAAAACCUAACACCGCAUGGUGUAGGGUUGAAAGAUGGUUUCGGCUAUCACUUUAGGAUGGACCCGCGGUGCAUUAGUUAGUUGGUGAGGUAAAGGCUCACCAAGACCGUGAUGCAUAGCCGACCUGAGAGGGUGAUCGGCCACACUAGGACUGAGACACGGCCCAGACUCCUACGGGAGGCAGCAGUAGGGAAUCUUCCACAAUGGACGAAAGUCUGAUGGAGCAACGCCGCGUGAGUGAAGAAGGUUUUCGGAUCGUAAAACUCUGUUGUUGGAGAAGAAUGUAUCUGAUAGUAACUGAUCAGGUAGUGACGGUAUCCAACCAGAAAGCCACGGCUAACUACGUG